Molecule: ribosomal RNA, 746 nt
Filed under: uncultured bacterium
Lineage: Bacteria
Description: bacterial SSU rRNA
Rfam family: Bacterial small subunit ribosomal RNA
Source: RNAcentral
UACAUGCAGUCGAGCGAAUCGAUGGGAGCUUGCUCCCUGAGAUUAGCGGCGGACGGGUGAGUAACACGUGGGCAACCUGCCUAUAAGACUGGGAUAACUUCGGGAAACCGGAGCUAAUACCGGAUACGUUCUUCUCUCGCAUGAGAGAAGAUGGAAAGACGGUUUACGCUGUCACUUAUAGAUGGGCCCGCGGCGCAUUAGCUAGUUGGUGAGGUAAUGGCUCACCAAGGCGACGAUGCGUAGCCGACCUGAGAGGGUGAUCGGCCACACUGGGACUGAGACACGGCCCAGACUCCUACGGGAGGCAGCAGUAGGGAAUCUUCCGCAAUGGACGAAAGUCUGACGGAGCAACGCCGCGUGAACGAAGAAGGCCUUCGGGUCGUAAAGUUCUGUUGUUAGGGAAGAACAAGUACCAGAGUAACUGCUGGUACCUUGACGGUACCUAACCAGAAAGCCACGGCUAACUACGUGCCAGCAGCCGCGGUAAUACGUAGGUGGCAAGCGUUGUCCGGAAUUAUUGGGCGUAAAGCGCGCGCAGGUGGUUCCUUAAGUCUGAUGUGAAAGCCCACGGCUCAACCGUGGAGGGUCAUUGGAAACUGGGGAACUUGAGUGCAGAAGAGGAAAGUGGAAUUCCAAGUGUAGCGGUGAAAUGCGUAGAGAUUUGGAGGAACACCAGUGGCGAAGGCGACUUUCUGGUCUGUAACUGACACUGAGGCGCGAAAGCGUGGGGAGCAAACAGGAUUAGA